RNAcentral lists this long non-coding RNA (1391 nucleotides) under Triticum aestivum (bread wheat). RNAcentral describes it as "long non-coding RNA (TAES_LNC012186)". The record is from RNAcentral. Lineage: Eukaryota; Viridiplantae; Streptophyta; Magnoliopsida; Poales; Poaceae.
AUUAACAAAAGUGCAGAUCCCGUCCCACUCUUCACUUUUUGACAAAAAACUUCUGAAUAGCAAUCUUGGUGAGUGGUCUCGACCGGGUUCGAUCGGCAUGGCGUGUCGUUCCUCCAGGAGUGGGUGCUGAGAGGAAGGAUGGCAAACCUCCAUUGUCAAUCGGCCGGAGCUUUGGAUCAGAGCAUGGACGAAAUCGAGAUGGUAGAGGUUGAGGAAUUUGUAGGACGUGAGGGUUUAGGGUGGGCAUCACAAGAACUCGCCCAUAUCUUGGGAGACGGCAGACCUGAGGUGCAGUCGUGUUCGUGCUUCAGGGGCUGCCACGUGCUGUCCUCGCCGCCAUCGCCUGUCGAUGCCACUUCAGCGCCACGAGCAUGGGACUGAGGGACGAAGGGAAGAGAAGGGAAGGAAGCGAGCUAAUGACGUACCUAUGUUUGGUAUGUAAUACCCUCCAUUAAGAGUAGAUAUUUUCUUAAAAUCGGUUAUUUUGUUUCCUAAUCAAUGUGAUUGAGAAAUUUAAGGUAAGGUUAAUUAAUUUAGAUUUGAUAUUUAGAGAUUGAUCAUGAUUGAUUCUUUCACAUAAAGGCAUUACUAAAAAUAACUUGCACCAACAUGGAAAGUUAUGAUCCGUUAAGAUUUUUUUCGUUGUGUGAGAGGGUGACGCGAAACUAAACCGGUGGGGUGGGGGAGGGACGAAAAAAAACCAGGGAAAUAAAACGGGUGGGAGGUGGGAGGAAGUACCAAAGAAGUACCAAAAAAGACCGGGUGAGGUGGGACGAAAAUAAAACCCGGAACGCAACCUACCAACUAAGACAUUAGGAGUAGAGAUAUGAGAGGGUGACGCGAAACUAAACCGGUGGGGUGGGGGAGGGACGAAAAAAAACCAGCGAAACAAAACGGGUGGGAGGUGGGAGGAAGUACCAAAGAAGUACCAAAAAAGACCUACCAACUGAGACAUUAGGAGUAGAGAUAUUAACAAAAGUGCAGAUCCCGUCCCACUCUUCACUUUUUGACAAAAAACUUCCGAAUAGCAAUCUUGGUGAGUGAUCUCGACCGGGUUCGAUCGACAUGGCGUGUCGUUCCUCCAGGAGUGGGUGCUGAGAGGAAGGAUGGCAAACCUCCAUUGUUAAUCGGCCGGAGCUGCAUCGUCAUUUGGAUCAGAGCAUGGACGAAAUCGAGAUGGUAGAGGUUGAGGAAUUUGUAGGACGUGAGGGUUUAGGGUGGGCAUCACAAGAACUCACCCAUAUCUUGGGAGACGGCAGACCCGAGGUGCAGUCGUGUUCGUGCUUCAGGGGCUGCCAUGUGCUGUCCUCGCCGCCAUCGCCUGUCGAUGCCACUUCAGCCCCACGAGCAUGGGACUGAGGGACGAAGGGAAGAGAAGGGAAGGAAGCGAG